This 520-nucleotide ribosomal RNA is filed under the name uncultured Scutellospora. RNAcentral's name for it is "SSU rRNA". It matches the Rfam family "Eukaryotic small subunit ribosomal RNA", at positions 569 to 1093 of the family's 1831-position model. The record is from RNAcentral. Lineage: Eukaryota; Fungi; Glomeromycota; Glomeromycetes; Diversisporales; Gigasporaceae.
AGCAGCCGCGGUAAUUCCAGCUCCAAUAGCGUAUAUUAAAGUUGUUGCAGUUAAAAAGCUCGUAGUUGAAUUUCGGGGUUCUACCGUCGGUCGGGCCAACAAGUCUGUACUGAUGUGUAGAAUUUCUACUUUCUGGGGAACUAUCAUGUUAUUAAUUUAGCGUGGUAGGAAACCAGGACCUUUACCUUGAAAAAUUAGAGUGUUCAAAGCAGGCUUACGUCUGAAUACAUUAGCAUGGAAUAAUAAAAUAGGACGGUGGUCCUGUUUUGUUGGUUUCUGAAUCACCGUAAUGAUUAAUAGGGAUAGUUGGGGGCAUUAGUAUUCAAUUGUCAGAGGUGAAAUUCUUGGAUUUAUUGAAGACUAACUUCUGCGAAAGCAUUUGCCAAGGAUGUUUUCAUUAAUCAAGAACGAAAGUUAGGGGAUCGAAGACGAUCAGAUACCGUCGUAGUCUUAACCAUAAACUAUGCCGACUAGGGAUCGGACGAUGUUAACCUUUAUUGACUCGUUCGGCGCCUUACGG